Molecule: ribosomal RNA, 565 nt
Filed under: uncultured bacterium
Lineage: Bacteria
Description: bacterial SSU rRNA
Rfam family: Bacterial small subunit ribosomal RNA
Source: RNAcentral
CACAUGCAGUCGAACGGACUUACAUUGAAGCCUAGCGAUAUGUAAGUUAGUGGCGGACGGGUGAGUAACGCGUGGGUAACCUGCCUUGUACUGGGGGACAACAGUUGGAAACGACUGCUAAUACCGCAUAAGCGCACAGCUUCGCAUGAAGCAGUGUGAAAAACUCCGGUGGUACAAGAUGGACCCGCGUCUGAUUAGCUGGUUGGUGAGGUAACGGCCCACCAAGGCGACGAUCAGUAGCCGGCCUGAGAGGGUGAACGGCCACAUUGGGACUGAGACACGGCCCAAACUCCUACGGGAGGCAGCAGUGGGGAAUAUUGCACAAUGGGGGAAACCCUGAUGCAGCAACGCCGCGUGAGUGAAGAAGUAUUUCGGUAUGUAAAGCUCUAUCAGCAGGAAAGAAAAUGACGGUACCUGACUAAGAAGCCCCGGCUAACUACGUGCCAGCAGCCGCGGUAAUACGUAGGGGGCAAGCGUUAUCCGGAUUUACUGGGUGUAAAGGGAGCGUAGACGGUUUUGCAAGUCUGAAGUGAAAGCCCGGGGCUUAACCCCGGGACUGCUUUGG